GACGACGCUGGCGGCGUGCCUAAUACAUGCAAGUAGGACGAGUUGGGAACGGGUGAGUAACGAGUGGUCACCUGCCUGGUAGAGAGGGAUAACUAUUGGAAACGAUAGCUAAUACCGCAUACUAGUAGAUGUACCUGCGUUGUAUUAGCUAGUAGGUAGGGUAAUGGCCUACCUAGGCGACGUUACAUAGCCGACCUGAGAGGGUGAUCGGCCACACUGGGACUGAGACACGGUCCAGACUCCUACGGGAGGCAGCAGUGGGGAAUAUUGCACAAUGGGCGCAAGCCUGAUGCAGCCAUGCCGCGUGUAUGAAGAAGGCCUUCGGGUUGUAAAGUACUUUCAGCGGGGAGGCGUUACCCGCAGAAGAAGCACCGGCUAACUCCGUGCCAGCAGCCGCGGUAAUAC
This 405-nucleotide ribosomal RNA is filed under the name uncultured bacterium. RNAcentral describes it as "partial 16S ribosomal RNA". It matches the Rfam family "Bacterial small subunit ribosomal RNA", at positions 33 to 526 of the family's 1533-position model. The record is from RNAcentral.